GAGCGAACAGAUGAGGAGCUUGCUCCUCUGAUGUUAGCGGCGGACGGGUGAGUAACACGUGGGUAACCUACCUAUAAGACUGGAAUAACUCCGGGAAACCGGGGCUAAUGCCGGAUAAUAUGCAGAACCGCAUGGUUCUGCAAUGAAAGACGGUUUUGCUGUCACUUAUAGAUGGACCCGCGCCGUAUUAGCUAGUUGGUAAGGUAACGGCUUACCAAGGCAACGAUACGUAGCCGACCUGAGAGGGUGAUCGGCCACACUGGAACUGAGACACGGUCCAGACUCCUACGGGAGGCAGCAGUAGGGAAUCUUCCGCAAUGGGCGAAAGCCUGACGGAGCAACGCCGCGUGAGUGAUGAAGGUCUUCGGAUCGUAAAACUCUGUUAUUAGGGAAGAACAAGUGCGUAGGUAACUAUGCGCACCUUGACGGUACCUAAUCAGAAAGCCACGGCUAACUACGUGC
Molecule: ribosomal RNA, 462 nt
Filed under: Staphylococcus carnosus
Lineage: Bacteria; Bacillati; Bacillota; Bacilli; Caryophanales; Staphylococcaceae
Description: bacterial SSU rRNA
Rfam family: Bacterial small subunit ribosomal RNA
Source: RNAcentral